GGUGGACUUGGUGGCUUGUAAGGCGGUGCUGGAGUUGUUGGUGGCUUAACUGGAGGUGUAGGAACUGGGGGCUUAUAUGGGGGAGUUGGUGCUUUAGUUGGCGGUGCUGGUGCUGGAGUUGGUGCUUUGGUUGGGGGUGUUGGGGGCAUAUAUGGGGGAGUAGGGGCCUUGACUGGAGGUGCCGGUGCGGGAGUAGGGGGUUUAUAUGGGGGAGUAGGAGCCUUGGUUGGUGGUGCUGGUGCUGGGGGCUUAAAUGGUGGAGUUGGAGCCUUGGUUGGUGGUGCAGGAGCUGGGGGCUUAUAUGGUGGAGUAGGAGCCUUGGUUGGUGGUGCAGGAGCUGGGGGCUUAUAUGGUGGAGUAGGAGCCUUGGUUGGUGGUGCAGGAGCUGGGGGUUUAUAUGGUGGAGUAGGAGCCUUGGUUGGUGGUUUAUAUGGUGGAGUGGGGGCCUUGGUAG
RNAcentral lists this long non-coding RNA (454 nucleotides) under Gossypium barbadense (sea-island cotton). Its description in RNAcentral is "long non-coding RNA (GBAR_LNC018185)". Lineage: Eukaryota; Viridiplantae; Streptophyta; Magnoliopsida; Malvales; Malvaceae. The record is from RNAcentral.